Molecule: long non-coding RNA, 1852 nt
Filed under: Podarcis lilfordi (Lilford's wall lizard)
Lineage: Eukaryota; Metazoa; Chordata; Lepidosauria; Squamata; Lacertidae
Source: RNAcentral
GCCAAUAUGAGUUUUUACAUUUCAGUAGCACAUAGAGUAAUAAUUGCGUGUCACCUUUUAAUAAUGCAAGGGACAGAUACCUGUAAGGAACUAGAAAAUGUCUAUACCAACCUCCGAGACAUUAUGUAAAUGUUUCUGAAAUAUUUUCAAGUCUUGCAAGCCUUUUAACUCUCUCAUCGAAUUUGGGUUUUAAAAGCACAGGGAUUUUGUAGAUGCCCAGGACAACCUACCUUGGGGCAGGUUUUCUGUGAUCAAACAUCCCAAUAGAUUAGCUCAUAAGCUCAUAAGUUUGUUUCUGCUAUAUAGGCUACAACAAGCCCUACAAUCAUGAAGGUGCAGCAGCUGAUUUUAGGUGUCAUGAAAGGACAGCCAAUUGUUAUUUACUUUAUUAUUAUUUUACUACCAGAGGGGGGAGGCACUUGUGGGUUUUGCUGCCACCUUACAUAACUGUAUUUUCCCACAACACAAACUUGGGUGAACAUGAAAUGUUCAAAGAUUUGUUCUGGGAUAAAUAAUACCCAAGCUAUGAGAAAAUUGGCUGGUACAGUAUAAUGCUGGCUCUUCUUCCACCAGGUAGUGGCAUACAUAGGCACUAUUUCACGGGGGUAGAGUUACAUAACCCAUGUAUCCAUACUUUGCUUCUUUCAGCAUAGACUACCAAGAACCAUAUCAGGUAGAUUAGACUGAUGAAGAUGGACUGAUCCAGCAUUAUAUGGUGAGCUUCUUGCCUGGACAAAUAUUUUAAUGUUACUCUCUGGGGUCAAGGUCCAGCACUCUGGCCACUAGAUCACAUUGGUUCAUGAGGGUAAAUCACUAAAUAAACAACAUUCCAUAAUGUGCUUAUUGAAUUUACAUGGGAUAAAAUUAUCCCUGAUCAUUUGAGCUGGAAUAAUUUAAUCACAUAUAAAAGAUUUCUCAAUGGCAGUUGCUGCUCAUUCAUGACUGCCCAUUGCAAAGGGCUGAGCUACAUGGUAUCACGCCAAGGGUGUGUUUUGAGAUCUGCGUCUGCUGAGGUAAUUUGGAAAUUGGAAGGAAAACCCUUCUCCAUGCCCACUUAUUCUCCGCUGAAAACAUUUGCUCCACAAACAAGGUAAAGUCACAAUUUGAAUUACUAAUUCAGAGCAAGGGGUGUGGAGGGGAAAGCUUUAAAAACAACUGUGGGAAAGUAUUUGCAUGGGAGAAUUGGUAGGCAGGAGAUGGACUAUGUGUUUCUCCUCUACAAGUGUUCUCUGCAUUUGUGUUAUGAGCAAAACAUAGGGCAGAGAACUAACUAUGUAUUUCUUUUCUUUUUUUUAAUAAUUUUUAUUAACCGACCAAUCAAAUCAAAUCAAAUCACAUCACAUAAAUUCCGAAUUACAAAGCCGAAUUUUAAAUUUUUGUUGAGGGGACCCAUAUUUCAAGUUUCAAAGGGGGAUUCCGAUCAUCUUCUUGCUACUGCGUUCAUAUCCAAAUCAGUCCAAAUAAAGUUCAUAAUUCUAUCCAGUCUUAUCUUGCUGUUUCCACAUCUCAUCUUAUUCGUACAUUUUUCUUUAUGAUCUCUUCUGAUAAUCUCCUUAAGCAGAUAAACACCAAUUAUAUCCUGUGUGGAUUUUUCCGUUCGACCAAUCCUCAUAUCGUGAUGGUUUCCAUAUAUCAUCACUUUCAUAAAUAACAUCGCUCUUUCCAUCAUUAAUCUCAGGAUCUGUCGUUUUUGAGUCCCACUGAGGAGUCUCACCCACAGUAUAAAAACAGCUCUUUUCCUCCUCCCAGACUCAAGUCCUCCGACAGAGCUUACCAAUAUGGCGAUGGUAUUUUUAACUGCAUCAUUCCAGAGCUCUUAAACUUUCCACGCUCUUCUUAAAACAUGCUUUGG